RNAcentral lists this ribosomal RNA (497 nucleotides) under uncultured bacterium. RNAcentral describes it as "partial 16S ribosomal RNA". It matches the Rfam family "Bacterial small subunit ribosomal RNA", at positions 28 to 507 of the family's 1533-position model. The record is from RNAcentral.
GGUGAACGCUGGCGGCGUGCCUAAUACAUGCAAGUCGAGCGAACAGACGAGGAGCUUGCUCCUCUGACGUUAGCGGCGGACGGGUGAGUAAGACGUGGAUAACCUUCCUAUAAUACUUGGAUAACUUCGGGAAACCGGAGCCAAUACCGGAUAAUAUAUUCAACCGCAUGGUUCAAUAGUGAAAGACGGUUUUGCUGUCACUUAUAGAUGGAUCCGCGCCGCAUUAGCUAGUUGGUAAGGUAACGGCUUACCAAGGCAACGAUGCGUAGCCGACCUGAGAGGGUGAUCGGCCACACUGGAACUGAGACACGGUCCAGACUCCUACGGGAGGCAGCAGUAGGGAAUCUUCCGCAAUGGGCGAAAGCCUGACGGAGCAACGCCGCGUGAGUGAUGAAGGUCUUCGGAUCGUAAAACUCUGUUAUUAGGGAAGAACAAAUGUGUAAGUAACUAUGCACGUCUUGACGGUACCUAAUCAGAAAGCCACGGCUAACUACGUG